This 371-nucleotide ribosomal RNA is filed under the name uncultured bacterium. RNAcentral describes it as "bacterial SSU rRNA". It matches the Rfam family "Bacterial small subunit ribosomal RNA", at positions 527 to 896 of the family's 1533-position model. The record is from RNAcentral.
GGGGGGGGCAAGCGUUGUUCGGAAUUACUGGGCGUAAAGGGCGCGUAGGCGGCCAUCUAAGUCAGACGUGAAAUCCCUCGGCUCAACCGAGGAACUGCGUCUGAUACUGGAAGGCUUGAAUCCGGGAGAGGGAUGUGGAAUUCCAGGUGUAGCGGUGAAAUGCGUAGAUAUCUGGAGGAACACCGGUGGCGAAGGCGGCAUCCUGGACCGGUAUUGACGCUGAGGCGCGAAAGCUAGGGGAGCAAACGGGAUUAGAUACCCCGGUAGUCCUAGCCCUAAACGAUGAGUGCUUGGUGUGGCGGGUAUCGAUCCCUGCCGUGCCGAAGCUAACGCAUUAAGCACUCCGCCUGGGGAGUACGGUCGCAAGGCUG